Molecule: long non-coding RNA, 1243 nt
Organism: Herpailurus yagouaroundi (jaguarundi)
Lineage: Eukaryota; Metazoa; Chordata; Mammalia; Carnivora; Felidae
Exons: 5
Source: RefSeq, a predicted model, not a curated record
CUUCUCUUUUAUUCAUUUCUAUCUAUCCUUGUUGUAUUCACCGGCAGUCACGAUAUCUUAGAUUCUUUGUAAUCUUUUCAGAGCAGCGUCUUAACUAUUACUCCGAGAGCUUCGGGGGCUAAUCAUCUUAUAAAGAUGAACUCGGCAAUCCAGCAAAAACAGCUAGUUGGACUGUUUAUUUAUAUCCCUCAAAUGAGCUGAUUAUGAAUUCCUUGGAUGAGUCGCUAAGUUGCAGUGACUCUCAGGUUUUCCCAUCUGUGAAAUAAAGUGGACGAAAUUCCUGUUUUGAUCCGUUCUUGAGCAGCAAAUCAGCUUCUGCCAUACUUCUUCGCCUGCCACCUGAGCUCAUUCGGUGUUCUCUUUGUUGCUGUCCAUUAUGUUUCCUCAGGCUGCGCUACAGAUCUGUUUUCUCCACCUAUCGAACCCCCCGUCCUCAAAACAGUUAGAAACUUCGGCAAUGCAUGAUAAGCCGCACCUACCUAAUAUUACCGACAGACUUUUUCUGCCAGGAAAAGAAAUGCCCAAUGAAAGCAAAUCAAUGGGCCAUGGAAGCAGGUCUUCCCAGCGGUGACCUAAUCUGCCUGUUUCAAAAGAAGAGGUUACAAUGACAUGAACCGUCAGACGGGAGAGAGAGCUCGCUAAGCUUGAAUCCCCGCCCGUAUACUUACCUGCUAGGUCACAUCUCUGAGCUCCAAUGUCCUCAUCUGUGAAACGGUAAGAGCGAUAGUCACCUGACCUGGCGCUUCAGACAAGAUGAUGUAUCUUGCUCAGCACCUGCAGUUUGUAUACAGAAGAGUCAUUGCUUUAACACGGGUUUCAAGGAUGGACCAACUCUCAGAGAAGAUAUAAACUACGGGUGACCGCAAAAAAGAGGAUGGCGGGGUGAUGACCAACUGCCUCUGAGAAGUAAGAGAGAAAAAAAGAACAAACAGCUGGCCCCUAGGCUUGUUAGAGAGGCAGAGUGGUAUGGCCCAACAGCAUUCAUUCAUUUUGUCUUUUUUCUCUCAUCUAGAAACACCAAUGUCAUCUUGUCCUAGGCCUGAAUCUUCUGGCCCCCUAGUGUCCUAUUUCACACUCCCACAAAUACACACCAAAUAAAUGCGUAUCAUCCCACCCAAACGCAAGCCACCUGGCUCACUGAACGUUUGGUGUGACCCUCAACAUUGUUUUUUUUUUCUUUUAAUUCUAAUGCCACUCAUCAAUCAUGGCUAUAAAAUAUAGGGGCAGGUUCACAUUGCCAUUC